Long non-coding RNA from Coffea eugenioides, 134 nucleotides. RefSeq lists it as uncharacterized. Lineage: Eukaryota; Viridiplantae; Streptophyta; Magnoliopsida; Gentianales; Rubiaceae. The record is from RefSeq and is a predicted model, not a curated record. The transcript is spliced from 2 exons.
UUUUGCAGCUCUUGAAAUCCGCUCAGAUGCAGCAUGGAUUGCGGUUUGGCGAUUACGCUCGUUACCGGAGGUACUGUACUGCUCGGCUCAGGAGAUUGUACAAGUCGUUGAAAUUCACGCAUGGCCGUGGUAAA